RNAcentral lists this ribosomal RNA (509 nucleotides) under uncultured bacterium. Its description in RNAcentral is "partial 16S ribosomal RNA". It matches the Rfam family "Bacterial small subunit ribosomal RNA", at positions 28 to 523 of the family's 1533-position model. The record is from RNAcentral.
GACGAACGCUGGCGGCGUGCCUAACACAUGCAAGUGGAGCGACGAACCAGGGCUUGCCCUGGGGCCAAGCCGCGAACGGGUGAGUAACACGUGGGUAACCUGCCCCGAUGACCGGGACAACUCGAGGAAACUCGGGCUAAUACCGGAUGUACUCCUCGCACAAAAGUGCAAGGAGUAAAGGAAGCUUCGGCCUCCGCGUCGGGAGGGGCCCGCGGCCCAUUAGCUAGUUGGUGAGGUAACGGCUCACCAAGGCAACGAUGGGUAGCUGGUCUGAGAGGACGAUCAGCCACACUGGGACUGAGACACGGCCCAGACUCCUACGGGAGGCAGCAGUGGGGAAUCUUGCGCAAUGCGCGAAAGCGUGACGCAGCAACGCCGCGUGGGGGAAGAAGGCCUUCGGGUUGUAAACCCCUUUCAGGAGGGACGAAGGCAGGGCAGUGAACAGCUGUCCCUACUGACGGUACCUCCAGAAGAAGCCCCGGCUAACUACGUGCCAGCCGCCGCCGUAA